RNAcentral lists this transfer RNA (50 nucleotides) under Sphingomonadales bacterium GWF1_63_6. Its description in RNAcentral is "tRNA-Ser". It matches the Rfam family "tRNA", at positions 26 to 71 of the family's 71-position model. Rfam says of the family: Transfer RNA (tRNA) molecules are approximately 80 nucleotides in length. Their secondary structure includes four short double-helical elements and three loops (D, anti-codon, and T loops). Lineage: Bacteria; Pseudomonadati; Pseudomonadota; Alphaproteobacteria; Sphingomonadales. The record is from RNAcentral.
CCUGCUUUGGGAGCAGGAUGUCGCAGGUUCGAAUCCUGUCUCCCCGACCA